RNAcentral lists this ribosomal RNA (1511 nucleotides) under metagenome. RNAcentral describes it as "bacterial SSU rRNA". It matches the Rfam family "Bacterial small subunit ribosomal RNA". The record is from RNAcentral.
AGAGUUUGAUCCUGGCUCAGAAUGAACGCUGGCGGCGUGCUUAACACAUGCAAGUCGCACGAGAACACCGAACUUCGGUUUGGUAAGUAAAGUGGCGCACGGGUGAGUAACACGUGGGUAAUCUACCCUUGAAUUUGGGAUAACAUUGCGAAAGCGAUGCUAAUACCGGAUGAAGUCGUAUUUACUUAGGUAGGUAUGAUGAAAGAUGGCCUCUACAUGUAAGCUAUUGUUUGAGGAUGAGCCCGCGUACCAUUAUCUAGUUGGUGGGGUAACGGCUUACCAAGGCAUCGAUGGUUAGCUGGUCUGAGAGGAUGAUCAGCCACACCGGAACUGACACACGGUCCGGACUCCUACGGGAGGCAGCAGUGAGGAAUUUUGCGCAAUGGGGGAAACCCUGACGCAGCAACGCCGCGUGAGUGAUGAAGGCCUUCGGGUCGUAAAGCUCUGUCAAGUGGGAAGAACCCUGUGUAUAAUAAAAUGUACAUGGCUGACGGUACCACUGAAGGAAGCACCGGCUAACUCCGUGCCAGCAGCCGCGGUAAUACGGAGGGUGCAAGCGUUAUUCGGAAUUAUUGGGCGUAAAGAGCGCGUAGGCGGUUUUUUAAGUCAGAUGUGAAAUCCCGGGGCUUAACCCCGGAAGAGCAUUUGAUACUAUUGAACUUGAGUAUGUGAGGUAUUCUUUGGGGAGCGGUAAAAUGUUAUAAUCCUUAGAGGACCACCUGUGGCGAAGGCGUCACACUAGAACGGAUCCGACAAUGAGGGACGAAAGCCAGGGGAGCGAUCCGGAUUAGAUACCCGAGUAGUCCUGGCCGUAAACGCUGCGAGCUAGGUGUUGCACACUCCUCGAGAAUGUGCAGUAUCGAAGCGAAGGUGAUAAGCUCGCCGCCUGGGGAGUACGGUCGCAAGGCUGAAACUUAAAGGAAUUGGCGGGGGAGCACAACAAGGGGUGCGGCGUGCGGUUUAAUUGAACUCAACGCCGGGAAUCUCACCAGCAGCGACGGCAGAAUGAAGGUCAGAUUGAAGGUCUUACCUAACAAGCCGAGAGGUGGUGCAUGGCCGUCGUCAGCUCGUGCCGUAAGGUGUCCUGCUAAGUCAGGUAACGAGCGAGAUCUGUACCCACAAUUGCUAGCCUUUUUUUUGAGGGGGCGCACUGUGUGGGGACUGCCUUCGAAAGGAGGAGGAAGGUGCAGGCUACGAUAGGUCUGUAUGCCCCGAAUCUGCUGGGCUACACGCGCGCAACAAUGGUAAGGACAAUGGGAUGCAACUCCGAAAGGAGAAGCUAAACCUCCAAACCUUAUCUUAGUUCAGAUUGAGGCUUGCAACUCAGCCUCAUGACGACGGAAUCCCUAGUAAUCAGACGUCAUCAUCGUCCGGUGAAUAUGUCCCUGCUCCUUGUACACACCGCCCGUCAAACCACUCGAGUAGGGUUUAGGUGAGGCUCAAUUUUUUUGAUUGGUUCGAAUCUAAGCUUUGCGAGAUGGGUUAAGUCGUCACAAGGUAGCCGUAGGGGA